RNAcentral lists this small nucleolar RNA (164 nucleotides) under Chlamydomonas reinhardtii. Its description in RNAcentral is "CrACA07 snoRNA". Lineage: Eukaryota; Viridiplantae; Chlorophyta; Chlorophyceae; Chlamydomonadales; Chlamydomonadaceae. The record is from RNAcentral.
GCAGUGCCAGACCGGUUGCUGGUGGCUGCGUCCCCGUGCCCCAGCGACCCAGAUGGCAUUGCGAAAGCAAACCCCAGUCAGCGCCGUUGCCGCCCCCCGCCUGCGCCGCCGGUCACCCGCUGCCCCACGGGACCGGCGGCCUGGGGCCGGCCAGCUGCACAGCU